AUUUUAUAUUGUUGUCCAUUGAUCUGGUUGUUGUUCUAGCUUCCAUGGUCACUUGGUCUGUUAUUCUUCGUAGCAUUUCAUUGAUAACCUUUUCUAACUAUGACGAUUCAGAUAGAUUGUGGGUAUAAAUCAUAAUUACAUGAUGCUUUCAGGUUUUUCACCUGAUCUUUCUUCAUAUGAUGAACACCAGGUUAUGAAUGUUAAAAUGCCUUUCUUGUUUAGGUUUGCGCACCCUAUGUUAGCCCAUCAAUAGUUCCGAUUGGAUAUGGUAUUGCACAGUCAGGUGUACCACGCCUAUACAGGAGUAUCUUUUGAAGGUUUGAAUCAUGGUUAUUGCUUCACAUAUUGCACAGUGUUUGCUAUCGAGGGCCCAUCAGCAGUUUGACAGCGUUACAAUAAUAUCACCUUCGUUUGGAAGUCUUGUCAGUUUAGCAACUAAGGAACGGUGGAUGGGGUGGAGUCAUCUUUCAUCCAGAACAGAGGGUUUCCCUUUGAUCAUUUUCUCACAUCAAAGAUUAAUUCAUGUGCUCUGUGGAGAUGACAAAUGAACGAAUUGCUGCGGGUGAACUUACUAUAUCUCUCUUAUCGACAUCGGCAGCUGUAACGGUGGUAAACUUAGUAUUUUUCCUGCUUUCAUUGAUAUGGCCUUGAUAUUCUUCAUGCUAUUUUUGUUAGUAUUAUGUGCGUGGACUUGAAAAGAAUACACACUUUCAUCAUUUCUGAAUCAGCGUAAGUUACUGAUAUGAUCACGUGUCAAUCGUAUUUUACCAUAUUUCUUCCAUUGUAUUCAAGAUUAUUAAUUUCCACUUGUUAUGUAUGCUUGUAUGCAUUUAAAUUUAUUGUGGAAAGGACUAGCCACAUAUUUAUGUAAUUUUUACAUGUUUUAAUUAUAAGCUUCGAAAGGCAUAUCAUUAAAUGUUGUUGUAUUAAACAUCACUAGACAAGUUAUGGUAAUCUGCACAAUUGCAUAUCUACCGUCAUAAUUUUUCUGGUAUCCGGAGGUGUAUGCUAGAUUGGUUGCUGCAUGUCAGUAGGGAAAUUCUUACUGAUUUCUUAUGUGUGUUUGAUCCCUACCACUAAUGUAUGCUUUCUAAGAUGUUGUAUCUUUGAAUCAACUCAUUCUAUAGUAUAUGUUUCUUCAUUACUGUACACAAUUCUUGUGCUAGAUAUUGUUAUUCUGUUAGCACUGUAGCAACACCUUACGCCAGUUGUUUUGUGCAGAGAAAUCCGUUAAAACGAUUGAUGAUGAGACUUGGAAUGAGCAUUGUCCCGGCCAAUAAUUACAAUUAUGGAAAUGCAUCGGCAAGCAUGUGAGUUCUUCCUGCCUGGUUGCACUCACAUUGUUUCACUUGCUGAUUAUAGAGCCUACUACUUACGUAUAUUUAAGUUCCUUCCAGCUCCAGUUCUCUAUCAUGAGGUUACUUCACGUAACAUAAUAUUUUUUUUCUACCUUGAGUACUUGUUGGUUAAAAUAAUAGUGGCUCGUGAAGUUAACUAUAUUUGUAUUUCACGUCGAGGGGGACAGUUAAUAUAAUUUUGUUUUGAGAGUGACAAGAGUUAACGAAUCUUCGACACUUGUGGUUGCAUUUUGUUGUGAUGCAGUGUUGUAGCUAAAUGAUUUGUGUAGCCAGUAAUGGGUUCAGAUUUAGAAGAAUCUCGUUGAUGUUGUGCCCUUCUGGUACCAAUCCAAUGAUAUGUGUUCACUGGAUGAUUGUUCUCACAUGCUGAGCUAUGCAAUCUAAAUGGCCACCUUCUCCAAAAUUCAUGCUGCCAGAUACUCAUGUCUUUAAUUUGUGCACACACAUUGUUCAAAAACUUGGAAUGAAAGCCAAAACAGGGUCAUGCAUAUAUACUAUAUAG
This is a non-coding RNA of Lolium perenne, 1860 nucleotides long. Lineage: Eukaryota; Viridiplantae; Streptophyta; Magnoliopsida; Poales; Poaceae. The record is from RefSeq and is a predicted model, not a curated record.